RNAcentral lists this ribosomal RNA (253 nucleotides) under uncultured bacterium. RNAcentral describes it as "partial 16S ribosomal RNA". It matches the Rfam family "Bacterial small subunit ribosomal RNA", at positions 524 to 776 of the family's 1533-position model. The record is from RNAcentral.
UACGUAGGGGGCAAGCGUUAUCCGGAUUUACUGGGUGUAAAGGGAGCGUAGACGGCAGCGCAAGUCUGGAGUGAAAUGCCGGGGCUCAACCCCGGAACUGCUUUGGAAACUGUGCAGCUAGAGUGCGGGAGAGGCAAGCGGAAUUCCUAGUGUAGCGGUGAAAUGCAUAGAUAUUAGGAGGAACACCAGUGGCGAAGGCGGCUUGCUGGACUGAAACUGACGCUGAGGCUCGAAAGCGUGGGGAGCAAACAGG